This is a long non-coding RNA of Lutra lutra (Eurasian river otter), 2620 nucleotides long. RefSeq lists it as uncharacterized. The record is from RefSeq and is a predicted model, not a curated record. The transcript is spliced from 3 exons. NCBI's taxonomy places the organism in Eukaryota, Metazoa, Chordata, Mammalia, Carnivora, Mustelidae.
CGCGUGGGAAACCUUGCGUCCCGCGCCGCCGGGUCCCUCCGCCGGGAAACAUGGAACCGUGGAAAAAUUCGGCCUUUCUCUUCCAGUCCGUAGAUCUCUGUGCGCGAAAUGGGAAAAAUGAGGUACACGUGGCACGCCUUUGAUACUCUACGUCACUUUGUGUGGAAGCGUCAGUGGUUAUAAGGGCAUUGUCUCAUCUGUGCCUCAGAAAUUGGGACGGUCGAGCUGGGCGCUUUUUGUCGUUUCGUUUCUCGUCCUGUGUUCUGGGCUUCCUGCCCGUGUGUAAGCGGCGCAUCCCCUCCCUGCCCCGCCUUUGCUUCCCUGCACUUUCCUCAGUCCCUGGCGCACAGCGUUACCAAUUUGGUGUUCCUCUUGCCCAGUGAAGCAGGCAAAUUGGGGCCAAGAGCUGGACAUACCUGACUCCAAAGAAGAGAUGGGGAGAGAGUCCUGAAAAGAAAAGUGGAAACAGGGAGACCAGGACAGGGACCAAGAAGGGACAGACCUGGAGAAGAACCGCUCUGCCUCCUGGGGAUUUCUGUUCUGUUUGCUUUGUGGUGGGCCUCGUGCCAUCCACUGAAGACCUGAACAGAACAAAAAGACUAAUUAAGAUGGAACUUCUGCCUGACUCUGUGAGUUGGACCGUCCAUCUUCUCCUGCCCUCUGACUACAACUUACAUCCGCUCUCCCGGUUCUCCAGCUGGCCGACUGCCGAUCUAGGGACUUCUCAGCCUCCAUAAUCACGUGAGCCAGUUCCUUCCCUGACUAAUGCAUUUUGCUACCAAGAUGUACCUUCUCAUACAUGUUUCUUUGUGUCCCCGGGCAAGCAUGAACUUGCUACGUGAUGGGCAGGCAGGCACACACUUAAUUUCUCUGUGUUCCAAGGCACUUCCCUCCAGACUGGAUGAACCUGGUUACACAACGGCAGCUGUGUGAGAGUUUUUGAUGCCUCACAUUUUCACUGACACUUUAUUUGCAUUUUUUUAAGUUUAUGGCAUUUCCUUUCUGCCCCACAGCCUUACUGGCUUCGUUUAGCCAGAAGUCCGCACAGAUCAAAGUGCGCACAGGAACUCAUGUCCCACCUCCUCGCUACCCACCCAUUCAGAGAUGAGCUCUCUGCCUCAUCUCUCACUCUCAGACAACCCUCUCCUGCUUCCAGCUAAGUGGGACUUGUGCUGCUCCUCAGCCACACAACUUUGGUUCUCAAGCCCUUCCCUUGGCUGCGUGCUCUGCCUGGACAGCCACUCCCACAGACACACUCAACUGUAGGACUUGUCCUUGAAGAUGUCUGUGAUGUGUGAUUUAUAAUAAGAAAUACAUAUUUAGGGGGCGCCUGGGUGGUUCGGUUGAGCUCAGUUCAUGAUCCCAGGGUUCUGGUGUAGAGCCCUGCAUCCGGGCCCCAUGCUCAGCAGGGAGUCUGCUUCUCCCUCUUCCUCCGCCCCUCCUCCCUCAGAUAAAUAAAAUUUUUUAAAAAAGAAAUACAUAUUUGGUCUUUGUCCCCACACCUGGCUCAGAGCUUCUAAAACCCUGGGAAUCUCAUAAGUAAAAAUAGCCAUAAGGUGUCUUGAUAUUCCGAACAAGCCCCUCUCAGCCACACGUGAGUUUAGGUCAGUGUGGGGAUUUUUGGGAAGCCCCGAAGGUUGGUGGUUGGUUGCCGGGGAAACAGACGUAUGUUGGAGGCUGAAACUCUCAGUCCUGUGUCUCCUGACCUUUGGGGAAUGGAGAGAGGCUAGAGGUUGAAUCAAUUGCCAAUGGCCUGUGAUUUCAUCAAUCCUACCUAUGUAAUGAAGCCUCCAUUAAACCCCAAAAGGAUGGGGUUCAGAGAGCAUCCGGGUUGGUGAGUACCUGGAGGGGCUAGGACAGCGGUGCACUCAGGGAGGUCGUGGAAGCUCCACGCCCCUUCCCUCGUACCUUGCCCUCUGCAUCUCUUUCAUCCGACAGUUCCUGAGUUAUACUCUUCCAUAAUAAACCGAUAAUCUAGUAAGUAAGAUGUUCCUUUCAGCUCUGUGAGCCUUGCUGGCAAGUUAAUUCAACCCAAGGAGGGAGUUGUGGAAUCCUCCAAUUAAUAGCCAAUCACCAGAAGCACAGGGAACAGCUUGGACUUGCAGCUAGCAUCUGAAGGGUGGCGGGAGAGGGAGGGGAAGCCUAGUGGGACUGAGCCCUUAAGCUGUGGGAGCUGACACUAUUCUGACCCUGUCUGCAGGUAGAUAGUGUCAGAAUGGAGCUAACUGCCCAUGGCCAUGGCGACGGAGAAAACACAUAUUGGAAUUGCGUUCCCUCAUCUUCGCCUCUGGUGGAAGUGAGCAUAAGUUCAUAUGCCUUCCAUUCACGCAUGCUUUCCUUCUGCUCACAGUUUUUUGUAUAAUCCCCUUGUUUCAAUCAGUUAUGGUCACUAGUCUAUUUUUUUUUUUUACCCUUACAGUAUAUUUAUUAGAUUAAGAGAGCAUCUUUCCUGGUGAUCAUCAGUUCUAAGGAUUCUUUUCCUUUUAAUUGCAGUAAAAUAUGCAUAAAUUUACCAUUUCUAAGUGUACACUUGAGUGGAGGUAAAGUACACUCACAUUGUUAUGUAAUCCUCACCAUCCAUCUCCAGACACAUCAUUCCUGGCUAUAAGUAAUUAUCUCU